UAGAAAAUAACAAAGUAGACAUUGAAAGCAAGAACGAAGUACACCUAAAACGCUCCAAAGUUCCAAGCUUGAAAUGCCAAGGACCUUUGUUUUCACCACCUUGUUGUAGCACAAGUGUCUAGGAUGUGUAUGGAUAUAUGGAUGGAAUGGAUUUGCACGACAUGGAAAAUGGAAAUGUAUGGACAUGUGUUUGAAUGUAUGGAUGAAAUGGAAUGGAGCUCAAGGCAAGGGACUUGUGUUUGUGAAUGAAGCUCUUUUGAUGGAUCAAGAUUGUUCUUAGGAAGGGGAAUGGUGGAUGUAUUUAUAGGCUAAGGAGAGGACCACUUCAAUUCCUUGCAUGUGCAGUUUGUAUGGGUGUGUGAUGUCCAUGUUUCCCUUUACAUUUGCACACACAUGACCUCCAUCAUUUCAGCCACAAAUCAACCCAUUUUUUGCCAUGUGUGUGUGUUUCCUUUGCCCAUGUGUGUGUGUUUCCUUUGCCCAUGUGUGUGUGUUUCCCUUGCCCAUGUGUGUAUGUUUUUCCUUUGCAUUUGCACACACAUGUUCUUCAUUAUUUCAGCCAACAAUCCACCCAUUUUCUGCCCAUGCCAAGCCCUCCAUGCAGUGCCUUUCUUGUUAUGUGUGUGCUGUCCAUGUAGAGUGUGUGUAUGCCCUCCAACCUGUGCAGUUUGAAUAUGAACUUAUCAAAUACCCCCACACUUAGCUUUUGCUAGUCCUCGAGCAAAAGAAAGAAAACAAAACAGAACCUAAACCUUCCAACGUUUGCCUCAAGGAUUUCCAACGCACAUGAUAAGUUAAAAAUCAUCAUUCCCACAUAUUUUAGUCAACUUAACACUUGAGCACAUACUUAAUCAUAGUCACCGCAUACUAGUUCACAUGUAACCAAUUAAAAUGAUGUUUUAAAUGUAGUAACAUGCCUUAGAGAAUUUGCUCAAUUCUUUACAAGAUAUGCACUCAAUUUUCACUCAGAUAUUCUGACUACACACCCUACACAAGGUAUAUGUGAGAAGAUUGAUGUAAACAUGAAAACUAGUAAUCACAUAUAUGUAUAACAAGAAAGCAUUUUCUGGUAUUAAUAAGCAUGUUUAGAUAUGAUCUCAUGAAUGGAAUGCUACUACUUAGAUGCGAGAACCAGUGACACCAUAUGCUCAUACCAAAUUCAAACUCCACAAAUUGAAACACAUAAAACUCAAGAUAGAAGUCAAAGGUUGUAACGGGGCUUAGGGUAUUGGCUAAUAAAGAAAUGAUAGGAAUAACAAAUGUACUUAAAGCGAUAGCAAGCAAAGCAAUGAAAUAGACACUUUGGAAUUCACUUUAGAAUGCAGAAUCAACUUUUAAAUACAAAGGGAAGAUUCAUGCAACACUUAGGGCUCUUUUUCACAACUUUUCUUCUUUUCAUUCUAUUUUCCACGAAUGUUUUUUUUUUCUUUUUCUUUUCUACCCGUGCCUUAUUAAGGACUUUGGCACACACACACACACACACAAGAAUCACUUCCUUCACACUUGUUUUUCUGCAAAAGUUCAACAAAAGGAAUUCCUUCUAAAUUAUGUUUUACUAUGCUUCAAGGACAAGGGUAUGGAUGGUCCUAAUCUAGGCUAGGUGAGGAUAGUGUGGGUUAACAAAGAACAUAGGCUACACAGGGCUCAACGGGGGUAAACUUAAACACAUAAUGAAAUAGGGCACGGCAAUUUGGCUGUGGUGGUCACUACACAACUUCAUCUUGAAUAUGUAUUAUGCAAAUCAAUACCAUGCUUUGAAUGAAAUAGGCAUGAGUUCUAGCAUUUGGAACUAACUAAUGAAACGCCUUCUAAGUAGCAACCAAACAAAGAAUAAUGAGAUCAUGCAACGACUUUAGAAAACAAUGAUGCACAGAUUAUUAACUCUCCAAAUAAACGUUUAGGCUCAAGUCUCACAAGGUUGUAGCGUACAUUUGAGUUCCUUCUUUCAAGCAUGUUACAAAAUUGAUUUUUCCUUUAUGAUUGCAUGUGAAUUCAUAAAUUAUAACCACAACCAAGCAUACACCAAAGAGUAAAUCAAAUUUUCAUCCAUGUUUAUAACUCUCUUUAACAGUCAUGCAAUUAAAAACCAAAUCCUCAUCAUUGUGUUGAAAGGUACCCUAAGGCACAAAUAAACAUACAAAAAACUCUUUUUGGGUUUUCAAAACAAUUUUUCAAAUUUUUAUGAGAUUUUCGGAUUUUUAUGUCAAAACACACUGAAACACUCCAAAACAACUUAAAAACACUUAAAACAGCAAGGAACAACACUAGAAGUAAUGGGUGAUAAACUCCUACGAAUUUCAUGCAAAACAAUGGUUACCCCCCACACUUAAAUAAAACAUUGUCCUCAAUGUUUCAAGCAUAAACUCACACAAACAAACAACGAAUAAACAUGACAAGUAUGGCAAAGUAAAAAUUAGACAGAGUAGAGUUUAAGAACGCAAAUCUAGUUUUGGAGAUAGAUGAUCUUGUUAUCUUUCCACAGCUUUGAUGUCGAACUGGUUUGGAAUUCUGAGCGAGGAAUAUAAGAGUUCCUUGGUUUCAAAUCAGACUCAUUCUGCUGGGUUGAUUUGAUUGUGCAGUCUGCAUUCUUCUCUGCUUGUUUCUUCUGCACGGCGGGCAGGUACGAGGUAGAGGUGUUGGUCUGUUUCUUUCUUCAAUCUUUCCAAGUGCCCACCUCUUGCUUUCUUUCUCCUUGUCCCUAGCUGAGGAUGAAUUGGCAAAUUGUCUCCACAUGCUUUGAGGUAUCAUUUUCACUUCCCUUAUUUGUUCCCCAAGCAGAUGUUGUAGACGAAGAUGAAGCAUAAAAGGAUGAAGAUGAGUACUCGAGAGCAAGACUAGGUAAGCAAUUAGGAAGGGAUUCCAGGCAGUCGGUUCCAGAUCGGAAGAUUGAUACUAAGUGCUGGCUGAUUGCUCUCUUUCUCCUUGUCCUAAAACAACGACAAGGAGAAGGACAAGGAGAAAGCAUGAUAUGAUAUACUCUUGCUUUCAACCUUCAUGGUGUGAAAUACUUUUUCUUUGGAUCAGUUGUUUGUAGAGGUACCCCAAGGAAUAAGGAACACUGAGUGACUCGAGAGGGUUUGUUGGAAAGGCAUUCUCGGAGAACAAGAAGGGUUAUGUAUGUUUUCCUUGCAAUGAAGGGUGAAGGGUGACAUUUAUAGGAAUUAAUAACUGGUACUAUUCUUUCACUCUUGUCAGCAACCAUUGGGUGAUUUAAUAGUACACUUCACGUGCUUUCUACUUCACAAGAGAUCUUCGACAGAUUGCUCGUAAUUUCCGCAAAGCUGACUGUGCAUGUGACAGGCGCUGAUACGUCUGGAAAAGCAAGUGCCUCUUCGAUAUCUGGAAUCGGCGCUUCGACAAACUGCCUGUGAUUUCCGCAAAGCUGACUCUACAUGUGUUAGAUGUUGACACCUUUGGAAAAGCAGAUGGUUGGAAUCGGCGCUUCGACAAACUGCCCGUGAUUUCCGCAAAGCUUACUCUGCAUGUGACAGAUGCUGACACGUCUGGAAAAGUAGAUGCCUUUCUGAUAUCUGGAAUUGCCUCUUCGAUCUCUGAAAUCCCGUCGAGUGCAAAGGUUGCAUGUGACAAGUGCGGACAAAUCUGGAAAAGAAGAUUGGCCAUGGUUUCUGAGCAAGCCUAGCUUUUGAGAAAGCUAGCGCCUCUUUGAUUUUUGAGUUAGCCUCUUCGAUUUCUGAGCUUGCUUCUUCGAUCUCUGAAAUCCCAUCAUGUGCUGAUUUUUAUAGAGGUACGCAGGAUGUUCAAAACACACUUGAAUUUCUGCCUGUAAAAACUCCCUUCUUGCACUUCUACGAUCUUGACUUGUAUGACCUCUUCUUUCUUUAACACCUCUGAAAAUGUCUGGCCCCUCCGACUGUCGUUUUGACUUGAACCUUGGUGAAGAGGCAAUCUCGCCUUCUCCAGACAACAUAUGGCGCCCAUCCUUCAUAUCCCUUACUGAUCCCCUUACCGUUGGGGAUUCGAUGAUGAAGAAUGAUAUGACAGCUGCGGUGGUGGCCAGGAACCUUGUCACUCCCAAAUAUAAUAGACUACUUGCCAAACGGUCUGAUGAGUUGGCUGUUAAGGAUUCUCUGGCUCUCAGUGUGCAAUGCGCAGGUUCCGUGUCUAAUAUGGCUUAACGCCUAUUUUCCCGAACCCGUCAAGUUGAAUCAUUGGCGGCUGAAGUGAUGAGUCUCAAGCAGGAGAUUAGAGGGCUUAAGCAUGAGAAUAAACAGUUGCACAGGCUCGCACAUAACUAUGCUACAAACAUGAAGAGGAAGAUUGACCAUAUAUAGUUGUGAAUCUGAUGGUCAGAUUUUACUUGAUCAUCAGAGGUUUAUGGGUUUGUUCCAACAGCAUUUGCCCUCAUCUUCUUGGGCUGUACCGCGUAAUGAAGCUCCAAAUGAUCAACCUUCGAUGCUUCCUCCUGCUGGGGCUUCGCCGACUGCUGAGGCUCCGCCGACUACUGAGACUUCUCCUAAGCAGCCUUUGUGAAGGCUCCCUAUUGUAUUUAUUUGCUUAAUGUUCCUUUCUUUUUUUAUGAAUGUAAAAAUACCUUGCAUAACUGUCAGUGUUUCAAAAAUAAACCCACACCAAAAACAAUUAAACAAGCAACAAAUAAAAAUGACAAUCAUGGCAAAAUAAAACUAUAGAAAAGGGAAGGUUUUUAGGAAAGCAAAACCAAUUGUGGAGCAAUUCAAAAAUCUUCCUCAUUUGAAUACAUGGGUUGCCUUCUAAGAAGCGCUUACUUUAACGUUUUCCAGCCGGACGAAACUUCCUUCUAAACUUGGAUAGGGCUCAUAGCAUGGAAUUGAUCCUUGAAUGGAAGGUGAUACUUGACGUGAUCCGGCAAUGGUUUAAAUUCUAGUGUAGGUGCCUGAAUAAUCAAAAUCAGCAAGUUAGUAUAUAAUAAAAUCGAAGUUGGAGAAGAUGGCUUACUUGCUUGCUCCAACACAAACUUAAUUACGAACACCACAUAUUUGAAGGUUGCAGGGACAUGGGACUUGGCCAGAUUUGGUGUUUUGAGAGUUAUGACUUGUCCCGUGUUAUAAAAUCCAACUUCUUUGGGAAUUUUCAUCUCAAGUGUAUCUUCUUUGAUGAAUUCUAGACAUUCCCCAUCCACUUCUUGCUCUUGAUUCGUUGGAAAGGUUUCAAAGAUGCCUUUCUCACCCUCUUCUUCCUUGGAUUGCAUGAUCCUGCAAGGAAUAAGGACAUUUGGUGAAACGGGGUCAGGGCAAAUUGAAUUUAGGCUUACCUUGGUUGUAGUGGAUGGCAUGGAUGGCAUAUGGGGUUGCGGCAAUGGUGGUUCUUCCCUUGUCGUGGCCUUGUUAUUCUCCUCUUCUUCGAGCAGCAGCUGUUUAUCCAUGUUUUGGCUUGGUUUGGAUGUCUUGGGUUCACCUCCAACCUCGAUAACACUUCCCAAAGUGAUAACAUCAUGGAUUUCAAAAUCUUCCUUCAAAUUUUCAAUAGUUGAGUUGGAAAGUUCACUUUGCUCUUGAAUUUGUGCCAUGAACUCCAUAAUCUGCCCAAUUUGCUUAUCCAAUUCACCCGUCUUCUUGGCUUGAUUUUGCAUCUCUUUGUUUCCAUUUUCUACUUCCUGGUUCAAAUAGGUGAGUAACUUAUUAAACAUAUCAUUAUCCAAAGACGUACCUGAAUUGAAUUGGGCUGAUUGUUGUGGUGGCUGCAUAGGUCUUGAAUAGAACUCUUCUUCUUACUGCCAAUACCCAUCUUGUUGGAAUUGUUGAGGUUCUCCCUACAUGUAAUCUGAAUAAUCUCUCAAAUCCGAAUUGUAUGCGUUGGAAAACAUGUUGUCCCAUGAUUGGCUAUGGCCUUGAUAACCCCAAGCAUCUUCAUUCGCAACGAAUUGAGAACAUUGAUGAGUUGGAUAUCCUUGCCCAUAGGAUACACCAUAUGUAGGGACACUUUGUAUUGUGGUUCUUUUGGCAUAUUGUGACAAUUGAGAAGUAAGUUUCGCCAAUUGCGCUUGAAUGGUAGCAAAUUCCAUGUCUUACUUCUCUAGUAUCUGAAAUCAAGGAAACAAAACUAAAUCAAAUAUCAUAAGUAAAAAUCAAAGACAAAAAUAGAAACAGAGUCAGUAACUAAAACAAAAGACAUGAAAAAGAAACAACGGGGGAUUAGCAAAGUUGCUAAUCCCCGGCAACGGCGCCAAAAUUUGAUGCGAAAAUUAACUUAACACACAAAUUAAACCCUCUUGUUGUCAAAUUGUAGUAUAAAUGCAAGUAGGGAUCGUUCUAAACCAAGGAUUAGGAGGGCUUGCUAAAACCUCUAAACUAACUCAAAGACAUAAAAACAAAGUUAAAAACGUUUGAAUAGACUCAAAGGACUCAAAACAGAUUCUAAAGACGCAAAACAACUUAAACACACUCAAAAUUGCCUAAAAACACUUACUAGGUAGAUUUGACUCUAACACAACUUUGGACGAAAUUUGGGUUUUGACUUGAAUCAAACCACUCAAAAACACCAACGAAAUAGAAAUUUAACACUUUGAAACAACAAAGUAAAAUGGGGAUUUCGGUUUUGAUGAAUUUGAAACAAGCAAACAAGUUAUAAAACUAGGCAGAUUGUAAGACAAAUUUGAGGAAUACGAUGAUGGAUGGAUUAGUUAGAGGACCGUUCUUCCACAUGACACACUUGUACAUGAAUCGAUUUCCAAUUGCUUUUCAAUAAACUAUGAUGCUCAACACCCCAGAUUAACCGUGAUGCACAAAUUAACCCUCAGAUUUUCCUUUACUCAUUGAAUUGGAUGAAUGCAUACGACAACCCAAAUCAUUCUCUAAAAGUCCCCUAUAUGAAUGCAUAAUAGAGAUACAAUCAGAGAUCAUUACGUUCAAUGAAAAUCAUAAGUGUUGACGAGGCAAUUAUAACUAUGAAUGCAUGAUACAAUUGCCAAGAAUUCAAUUAACGCGAUUGUGAUAAACAACCUUCACUACUCAUGAAUAUAAACUUGUAACGAUUAGGUGAAACUCAUUCUAGCAUCUAAUUCAUGCAUGAAAACUAAGUAUGCAUCCUUAAUAAACAUACAAGAAUCAGUUAUGAAUAAAAUAGAUAAUUGAAUUGCAAUCACAACUUAUCAAAUCACAAUUGGAAGAAAUCAAUUCAAAUCAAGCAUGUUCAUGGCUUCAAACUUCCCCCUAACUAAAUAGGGAUUUAGCCACUCAUAAUUGCAACAAAAUUAGAAAAUAACAAAGUAGACAUUGAAAGCAAGAACGAAGUACACCUAAAACGCUCCAAAGUUCCAAGCUUGAAACGCCAAGGACCUUUGUUUUCACCACCUUGUUGUAGCACAAGUGUCUAGGAUGUGUAUGGAUAGAUGGAUGGAAUGGAUUUGCACAACAUGGAAAAUGGAAAUGUAUGGAGAUGUGUUUGAAUGUAUGGAUGAAAUGGAAUGGAGCUCAAGGCAAGAGACUUGUGUUUGUGAAUGAAGCUCUUUUGAUGGAUCAAGAUUGUUCUUAGGAAGGGGAGUGGUAGAUGUAUUUAUAGGCUAAGGAGAGGACCACUUCAAUUCCUUGCAUGUGCAGUUUGUAUGGGUG
This 7547-nucleotide long non-coding RNA is filed under the name Malus domestica (apple). RNAcentral describes it as "long non-coding RNA (MDOM_LNC000205)". Lineage: Eukaryota; Viridiplantae; Streptophyta; Magnoliopsida; Rosales; Rosaceae. The record is from RNAcentral.